AUGCUUUACACAUGCAAGUCGAGCGGCAGCGCGGGGGCAACCCUGGCGGCGAGCGGCGAACGGGUGAGUAAUACAUCGGAACGUGUCCCGUAGUGGGGGAUAGCCCGGCGAAAGCCGGAUUAAUACCGCAUAUGCUCUACGGAGGAAAGCGGGGGACCGCAAGGCCUCGCGCUAUGGGAGCGGCCGAUGUCCGAUUAGCUUGUUGGUGAGGUAACGGCUCACCAAGGCGACGAUCGGUAGCUGGUCUGAGAGGAUGAUCAGCCACACUGGGACUGAGACACGGCCCAG
RNAcentral lists this ribosomal RNA (288 nucleotides) under uncultured bacterium. RNAcentral's name for it is "partial 16S ribosomal RNA". It matches the Rfam family "Bacterial small subunit ribosomal RNA", at positions 45 to 334 of the family's 1533-position model. The record is from RNAcentral.